UCCUACGGGGGGCAGCAGUAGGGAAUUUUCGUCAAUGGGCGCAAGCCUGAACGAGCAAUGCCGCGUGAACGAGGAAGGUCUUCGGAUCGUAAAGUUCUGUUGAAGGGGAAAAAGAGCGGAGAGAGGAAAUGGUCUCCGAUUGAUAUUACCCUUCGAGGAAGUCACGGCUAACUACGUGCCAGCAGCCGCGGUAAUACGUAGGUGGCGAGCGUUAUCCGGAAUGAUUGGGCGUAAAGGGUGCGUAGGCGGCCUGCUAAGUCUGGCGUGAAAGGUACCGGCUCAACCGGUACAGGCUCUGGAAACUG
RNAcentral lists this ribosomal RNA (305 nucleotides) under uncultured bacterium. Its description in RNAcentral is "bacterial SSU rRNA". It matches the Rfam family "Bacterial small subunit ribosomal RNA", at positions 337 to 635 of the family's 1533-position model. The record is from RNAcentral.